UCAGGAUGCGGACGUGUCUGUGGCGUUACAGCGAUACGUAUGACUGAAACUCAGCGGCCCUCUUGAAAGUUGUGGUGGUUAAAUGAAAAAUUGUCCGUCUUCAUCCAAACUCUCGUGGCCUUUCUGGCCUCUCCAGCAGGGUGGAGUUUGUUCUCAUAGACACUGAUGGACGGUCUGUGUACUGGUGCAAUUGAGGCAGCUCACGUGACAACACCAGUGGAAAGUACAAUGGCAUCUUUCCGUCACCUGCUCGGUCCGAGUCUUGUAUCCUCGUCCGCAGCACAGCAGCUCGCACCCGUCCAGUGCCGGCGAUGAACUGUUGCAGGUGCGUCCCGAUGUGCCAUGUGUGCCUGUUUUCCCAUUGUAAGAACAGAAGUUGGGUGACUUUUCGAAAUAGACCAAGUCCCGAACAGACGGGAGCUUGUGUGCUGGAUUUUCCGGCUCCAGGUGUCGGGGGUCGGCUCGAUGAGAGGCACGGUUGCUGCCUUUGUUGGCGUACACAACUCGGGAUGCACCAUCGAAGCGGUCCUUCAGAAAGUCUCCCACCACACGGAAGCUUGGCAGCCUCAUCCAGCAGGUUCGAACCGUGCAGGACCCAGACAUGCCAUGACACUUGCAUUCCUGUUGCAUCUCUGAUGCGACUGUCUGUGGGGAGAGAAGGUUGGUCAGAUAACGGAGAUCUCGGCCCUUCUCACUGGAAUCCACAAACUCUCGUCCAAACAUCCUGCCAAAUUCCACAUUGUCGCUGCAGCCUCCCCAGUGCCAGUCUGGCCCUCCAGGACCCCGGCGCCGGUAGUCACAGGUGCAGGACUCAAUUGCCCCCUCGGAGCAGGACCGAGCCACAGCGUGAGUGACGCCGGCACUCGUGAUGGCAAACACAAACGCAGUCUCACGGCAACCUAGCAAAACAAUAAGCACAAUGUUUUUCUAUGUACUAACAUAUCAUCUUCAUCAUUAAGUUGGUUAGAACUUCCAUAAUGCCACCACUGGGAAAUGAGACCUACUCACCACGGUUGACAAUUUUGCCAAAGACAUUGGGGCUCUGGGUGGUGGGACAGUUCCAGCGUCGGUUACGAAACUGCCAUUUGCAUUCCUUGAUAGCUGUAUGCAGGCCUGCAGCAAUGGCGUGCAAGAUGCCAGGGUUUUGCCGGAUCAGUUUCCUCUGACGGCGGCUAAGCAGUGCCAGGCUGGGGUCCAGUACCAACUGCACAUUUUUGGAGUUGGUGAGGUGAUUGCCUGAGGAUGCCACAUUCACAAUGCCCCUGGUAGAGGAAAAAGUCAAAUAAAGAUCAGUUGGAAAUAUA
Misgurnus anguillicaudatus (oriental weatherfish) is the source of this 1304-nucleotide non-coding RNA. The record is from RefSeq and is a predicted model, not a curated record. NCBI's taxonomy places the organism in Eukaryota, Metazoa, Chordata, Actinopteri, Cypriniformes, Cobitidae.